UUUGAAGGAGCACUGAUGUCACCAGUGCACGUAAGGAAAAUGUUCAUUGGAGGCCUUAGCUGGGAUACUACGAAGAAAGAUCUUAAGGACUACUUCACAAAAUUUGGAGAAGUUGUGGACUGUACCCUGAAAUUAGACCCUAUUACAGGGCGGUCAAGAGGCUUUGGCUUUGUGUUGUUCAAGGAAUCUGAGAGUGUGGAUAAGGUCAUGGAUCAGAAGGAGCACAAACUGAAUGGUAAAGUGAUUGAUCCCAAGAGAGCUAAAGCAAUGAAAACAAAAGAGCCAGUCAAAAAGAUUUUUGUUGGAGGGUUGUCUCCUGAUACACCAGAAGAGAAAAUAAGGGAAUACUUUGGUGGCUUUGGGGAGUUGGAAUCGAUAGAGCUUCCGAUGGACAACAAAACCAACAAGCGCCGUGGAUUUUGCUUCAUUACUUUCAAAGAGGAAGAUCCAGUAAAGAAGAUUAUGGAGAAGAAAUACCACAACGUUGGUCUUAGUAAAUGCGAAAUAAAAGUAGCAAUGUCAAAAGAACAGUAUCAGCAGCAGCAGCAGUGGGGAACACGGGGAGGAUUUGCUGGAAGAGCCCGUGGCAGAGGUGGAGGCCCCAGUCAAAGUUGGAACCCAGGAUACAAUAAUUAUUGGAAUCAGGGUUAUGGCAACUAUGGAUACAACAGCCAAGGGUACGGUGGCUACGGAGGCUAUGACUACACAGGAUACAACAACUAUUAUGGAUAUGGGGAUUAUAGUAAUCAGCAGAGUGGUUAUGGGAAAGUAUCUCGGCGAGGAGGUCAUCAAAAUAGCUACAAACCAUACUAAAUUAUUCCAUUUGCAGCCUAUCCCAACAGCGGGAACUUCCUUGCAGGCCCUGUGUCGCGCUGACUUCCCGAUUCUCACAGGCCCGCUCAAUGCGGACAGGGUACGAGAUGCUCACGCUCUCGAAUGCUGCCGUUUGGUGGACAAGCAGUAUUCUCAUUUGAAGAUUCAUUUGAGGUGGCUCAUGCUGCCUGCUAAUAGCAGUUCAAACUAAUUUUUUUGUAUCAAGUCCCUGAAUUGGAAGUAAGAUGUUGGUCCCACUGAAGUUUGAUUGCGUUCUCAUUACAACAGAGUUGCUUUCACCAUCUUUUUAAUUGCUACGCUUAAGGAUCUAUUUGAUUUACGCCCCACACCCAUUUUGUUCCCCAGUAUUGUAGAAAAAGUCUUGUGUUUAAAGCCCAGUGUGACAGUGUCAUGAUGUAGUAGUGUCUUACUGGUUUUUUAAUAAAUCUUUUUGUAUAAAGGUG
Molecule: non-coding RNA, 1277 nt
Organism: Pogona vitticeps (central bearded dragon)
Lineage: Eukaryota; Metazoa; Chordata; Lepidosauria; Squamata; Agamidae
Source: RefSeq, a predicted model, not a curated record